Molecule: ribosomal RNA, 301 nt
Filed under: uncultured bacterium
Lineage: Bacteria
Description: bacterial SSU rRNA
Rfam family: Bacterial small subunit ribosomal RNA
Source: RNAcentral
AUUGAACGCUGGCGGCAGGCCUAACACAUGCAAGUCGAGCGAGAAAGCCCUUCGGGGUGAGUAGAGCGGCGGACGGGUGAGUAACGCGUAGGAAUCUACCUAGUAGUGGGGGACAACAGUCGGAAACGACUGCUAAUACCGCAUACGCCCUACGGGGGAAAGGCCGGGAUCUUCGGACCGGUCACUAUUAGAGGAGCCUGCGUAGGAUUAGCUAGUUGGUGGGGUAAAGGCCUACCAAGGCGACGAUCCUUAGCUGGUCUGAGAGGAUGAUCAGCCACACUGGAACUGAGACACGGUCCAG